Molecule: long non-coding RNA, 218 nt
Filed under: Elaeis guineensis (African oil palm)
Lineage: Eukaryota; Viridiplantae; Streptophyta; Magnoliopsida; Arecales; Arecaceae
Description: long non-coding RNA (EGUI_LNC035029)
Source: RNAcentral
ACUUGCACAACUCCUACUAGAGAACAAUCAACUGACAUAUAAAUAAGACUUCAUCAGAUAUUAUUUCAUAGGUCUAUUCAGUAAACUCAUUCUCUAAUGAGCAUCCACAUUCUUGUAUUAAUGUCGCCACACAAGUAGUUGUAAGAUCAACCAUCCUCACCACUGAGCAUACAUAGGAUGUGCCAGUCUUAUUGGUAUCAUUGAUCUCUAACUCAAUG